Molecule: ribosomal RNA, 451 nt
Filed under: uncultured organism
Description: partial 16S ribosomal RNA
Rfam family: Bacterial small subunit ribosomal RNA
Source: RNAcentral
CACUCCUGCGGGAGGCAGCAUUGGGGAAUAUUGGACAAUGGGCGCAAGCCUGAUCCAGCCAUGCCGCGUGAGUGAUGAAGGCCCUAGGGUUGUAAAGCUCUUUCACCGGUGAAGAUAAUGACGGUAACCGGAGAAGAAGCCCCGACUAACAUCGUGCCAGCAGCCGCGGUAAUACGAAGGGGGCUAGCGUUGUUCGGAUUUACUGGGCGUAAAGCGCACGUAGGCGGACUAUUAAGUCAGGGGUGAAAUCCCGGGGCUCAACCCCGGAACUGCCUUUGAUACUGGUAGUCUUGAGUUCGAGAGAGGUGAGUGGAAUUCCGAGUGUAGAGGUGAAAUUCGUAGAUAUUCGGAGGAACACCAGUGGCGAAGGCGGCUCACUGGUUCGAUACUGACGCUGAGGUGCGAAAGCGUGGGGAGCAAACAGGAUUAGAAACCCGUGUAGUCCCAUGAU